GUGGAUUGCCUUCUCAUAUGUAAAUUAUAUAAAGUGAAUUAGCCUUGUGGGAAACAUCUUCUAGAACCAUAAAAGACAACAACUAUUAAAACCAUAAAAAUUAAAAAAAAAAAUACAUGAAUAGGGACGGACAGAGUAAUAGAACCAUAACAAAGUCCAUUAAGCUGCAGCAAAUCUUGCAAAAUACAUUAAAUAUUAGGACUAAAAAGUAGAAACUAAUAUUGUUUCUUAAGGAUUUUCAUAAUAAUAAAAAAAUAAAUUUAAAAAAACCUAAACAUAGUUAUUAUUAUUUUUUUUUUAUAGGAUAUGAGAUGAGUGAGAGCUGCUUGAUUUUUUCACCUCUUUGCUUUCUAUGGUUUUUUCUGCUUCUUUUAGCAGUUUAGUAGACUAGUCAGUUGGAGAUAAACUUUUAGAGAAUUUGAUUUAGGUUUGGAGUUUAUGGUUGAAAGUGUCAUACAAAAACUAAAUUUAGGUUGUAAGAGUUUAAGAGUGUAGCAAUAUUUUUAAAUUAAUUAAUAUUUUAAAAUAAUAAUUUAUAAUUA
This 542-nucleotide unclassified non-coding RNA is filed under the name Hevea brasiliensis (rubber tree). Lineage: Eukaryota; Viridiplantae; Streptophyta; Magnoliopsida; Malpighiales; Euphorbiaceae. The record is from RNAcentral.